UACCUCUCCGCACUCGCGGUUUGAAAGACCUCGGCCGUUACUUCUCUGUACCUGCCUCCAAACACACGUGGAGGUGGUGGCGAGAGGGAGGGGGCCCACCGCCACGUAUGCAUAAGGCGAGGGAGGAGGGGAUUGGGGCUGAGGGCAGUUCCCUGAGGACAGUUAGUGCUGCCUAAAGUGCAAGGCUCCCCCAUUCCUCUGUACCCCGAAACUGGAGGAAACAGUGUGGGGGCCUGGGGACGCCUGUCCACGGUCCAGGCAGAGCCCUGGAACCCUGAGCUUUGAUGCUGCAGCAGCGAUCGCCUGUGGGCACCUGGGUUCCUGGGGGGCGGGGCCUCCCCCAGGUGUGCGGAGAGCGAAGGCCACCAGAGCCAGCCCAGAGGACCCCAGGAGCCUCCUCCCGGGGACACGGUACAAAAGAGC
RNAcentral lists this long non-coding RNA (423 nucleotides) under Rattus norvegicus (Norway rat). RNAcentral's name for it is "long non-coding RNA NONRATT011731". The record is from RNAcentral. Lineage: Eukaryota; Metazoa; Chordata; Mammalia; Rodentia; Muridae.